RNAcentral lists this ribosomal RNA (905 nucleotides) under Archamia bleekeri (Gon's cardinalfish). RNAcentral's name for it is "partial 16S ribosomal RNA". The stretch from base 193 to 905 matches the Rfam family "Bacterial large subunit ribosomal RNA", at positions 566 to 1719 of the family's 2925-position model. The record is from RNAcentral. Lineage: Eukaryota; Metazoa; Chordata; Actinopteri; Kurtiformes; Apogonidae.
CGCCCACUAGCUAGCUCACCCACCUAAACCCAACAACCCCCUAUCUAUAACCCCUAAUUAAAUUACGCACCUUUUAAACAAAUCAUUUUUCCCCCUGAGUAUGGGCGACAGAAAAGGACCUACCAGUAAGCAACAGCAUUAGUACCGCAAGGGAACGCUGAAAGAGAAGUGAAACAAAUCAGUUAAGCACAAAAAAGCAGAGUUCCACCCUCGUACCUUUUGCAUCAUGAUUUAGCAAGAAAGCAUCAAGCGAAAAGAAUUUUAGUUUGAUUUCCCGAAACCAAGUGAGCUACUCCAAGACAGCCUUUAGGGCGCACCCGUCUCUGUGGCAAAAGAGUGGGAAGAUCUUCGAGUAGAGGUGACAGACCUACCGAACUUGGUUAUAGCUGGUUGUCCAGGAAUUGAAUAGGAGUUCAGCCUUUUACCAUCUUCUCACAAACACCGGCCACUCCCCAAGAGUUGAAGAUGGCCAAAAGAGUUAAUCGAAGGGGGUACAGCCCCUUUGAAAAAGAUACAACUUUACCAGCAGGGUUAAGAUCAUAUCAAAUCUCAAGGAGCAUGUUAUAGUUGGCCUAAGAGCAGCCACCCAAUUAGAAAGCGUUAAAGCUCAGACACCUCUCCUUCCCAUUAUCCCGACCACCCAAAUCUUACCCCCCUAAACCUACUGGACCGUCCCAUACCCCUAUGGGAGAGACUAUGCUAAUAUGAGUAAUAAGAGACCCUGCGUCUCUCCCCGCACAAGUGUACAUCGGAACGAACCCCCACCGACAAUUAACGGCCCCAUUCCCAGAGGGAACUGGAACAUUAUGGCCCGGCCACUAGAAGCACAUCCAUGCCUUUUACCGUUAACCUUACACCAGAGUGCCUAGCAAGGAAAGACUAAAAGAAAGAGAAGGAACUCGGCA